Molecule: ribosomal RNA, 2634 nt
Filed under: Triticum aestivum (bread wheat)
Lineage: Eukaryota; Viridiplantae; Streptophyta; Magnoliopsida; Poales; Poaceae
Description: partial small subunit ribosomal RNA
Source: RNAcentral
GAAUACACACCCUAAACGAAGCUUUCAACAGGUGCACUCAGUUACCCACGACGAAGUACACCCGUAAGAAAGACACCACAUACAACCCCUCUCUUCUACCGUGUUGACUUAUGCCUCUAGGCAGACAACUUCUGCGACUCCGUGUUCUUGUAAGUCUUCAACAAACGGAGUACCUAACUACUCCUAUUCUUCUGUCAAUUGUAGUAGUGUCUCGAGACGUGUAGGCCGUCAAACUCCGUCAAGGCAUUCUUCGUGUUAUUUCAGACAUACUUCCGAUACUCUCCUACCCGUUAUGUCUAUAACUGUCCCGACCUUAUAGAUCCGUCAGUCCUUGGUUGGUAAUAAGUAUCCCUAAAUUUCACACUGUUGUAUAAGUAUUUGCCAGUACUACCUGUUCACUUCUAACCGCUGAAACCAGACCGCUGUAAAAACGUAGUUGCCUUUUGCUCUUCAUAGUUUCCGUGUAAUCUCAAAUACCGUGAUCUUGAGAAGUGACCCUUAAUGUUGCUCAACCACCUAUAUAUAAGUAAACCCUACACGUACGAAGUUUACCACUGUACACUUAUAGGUAUGUCACUUACACUUCCGUUCGGUACCUAUAUGUUCUUUUAAAGACUUCCAUAUUUUGGUCGACACGAAAGGUUCCAACUUCUACGUCUUCUCCAAAGUAUCUUUAGACAAACCGAGGCGGUCGACUUUCUGAAACACGUUCACUCGAGAACUUCUUGACAAAGGAGAUCUUUCUGUUCGGAUAGGGUCGCGGAGGAUAAAGUCAGAGGGACCAGAGCUCACACUGAUUUCUACCCGCCGUCAGACGGUCAAAGUACGAUACCUUCCCACUUAAGAGUGAUUUUCCGCUGUACGUACAGUGAUUGGUACAAUUAAAUAGCGAUUCUAAAGGACUGGGGUUACCAACAAAAUUCUUACGGCUCAAGGGCAAGUUACACCUGGUUCUAUGGUCGGAAAGACACCGAGACCUUUACCAGAUGUGAAAACCUGCCACCGCCGCCUCCGUCUCCGAUACCGAGCUAUCGCUCUGCUCAGACAACUCUUAUCGGUCGCUGCCCGAGAAAAGAAAGCGAACGAGACAAAAUUUUUUUCUCCAAGCCCCAAGAAAAAAAACAUGUCUCUUAAAUGGUGUCAUAACCUUUAUGAGACCAAAACUAUUAUGUCAAAAAUCACGAUUGGUUUAUCCAGUGACAUUUAUUUUGGUACCAUUCAUUUUUUUGACGUCAUAAGAUUCUUAUGAAUUUCUUUAUGAAACGAUAGUUUGUCCCGGAGUUUCAUUAAUUUUGGUACCACAAGGAUUUUUGACAUCAUAAAGGUCUUAUGAAUCUUUUAUGUCUCGAUAGUUUGUCCGGGACUUAGUAGUUAACCUCCACCAUCAUACUCUAAAUUUUUUAGACUGUCACAUCCUCUAUAGAUUGAGGUACCGUUACAAGCUACCUACAAGACGCUUAACGAGCGUUCGGUACUUUUUAACCCCAAAUUGUGUCGUAUAUAUAACAGAAUCUGUGAGUACUAGACCACUAUCAAAAUUAACGGAACUAGAAACAAAACAUCAUGUCUGUUCUUAUCGAAGUUACUGUCGUAGAGCUUAGUAGUUCAACACACUGAAGGGAGAACUCACCCACAACAUAAAAUCGUCCGGAUAUAAACUUUAUCAACUCUCGGUGAAAACAAUAAAGAUAUACCCACGUGUGGUUUAAUAUGGAAGGCUCUUCUAAUUACACGAGUACUAAAUGGAAGACUUUUUCCCUUGAACACUAGGUAGACGCGCGUUACUCGACCUCCGCCCCCCGUGUUUUCCUGUGAUUCGGUGGGGUCUAACAAUGCUGUGUCACCACGGUGACACACCCGUAGUUGUGCUCCUCAACUACGUUGACGUUGUGUCCCGUCGUCGCCAUACUGCUGAAGUUGUACUCAGGACCACUCUUCUUGCGCCCUCGAUCCUAUAUCUCGGUCUACAACACAUACAUAUUCUUAAAGUAGAUGCGAAUAUAAUAAAACGUCCCAGGAUUACGUAAGUGACAAGAUUAAAGAGGACCUACGUAGCCUUGCGUGACGAUGGUUCACAUUAUGAGAACUUUGCUUGUGUAUAUGAAUCAUAAGACCCUUUAUUUCCUUUGAUACCUUAUUACUCCUGGGACCAGAAGAUACAUUUGAUCUAUGACUAGGAUGUACCUUAAAGAUACAUUUUUAAUGAUUGUAUCACCUCUUCGCGUGGUGAACUACAGGACUCGGAAGCGUGUCGGUCGUUCACGAAACCGAUCCGAACACAACCUACCAUCUUUCAAAACCGAGUCCAACAACAAACAAGUAAACCGUACUGAUGAACAUCCGCCAUAAAAUAACAAUCAAAGUUGUAAUAAAGUUGAGACAACAAAGCCAGACACGAAUAAUAUCAUAAGACCGAUCUAUCACAAGUGUAGCAUCAUGGAUAUGAAGUGUACAUGAGGGAGGCAGGGAACUAAAUCAUGUUGAAAUCAUAUGAAUGUGUACGACUGUACACAACAAUCAGUAAGAAAGGACACAUACUUCCUACUAUCCUAAGAACAUUAUCAAUUCUCAUGGUAAAAGUUUUUAAACCACUUGAUGACAUUUCUACAACGUUAAAACGGUCUAAUAUUGGAG